UAUUCUCAACUCCACCAGCUUUUGUGGUUGGUUACUGGAGCUUGGAUGUGGAGGUUUUGCCGGCCUUUGUGGUCAGCUCCUCUGAAAUACAUUAGCGGAACCGUUUGCGAUCCGUCACAGGUGUGAUAAUUAUCUACAUCUAGUGGGUUGCUUUCUGUCUGUUCAGCUCAUAACUGUCCUUUCAAUGGACAACUUAUCGAAC
RNAcentral lists this unclassified non-coding RNA (202 nucleotides) under uncultured Micropsalliota. Its description in RNAcentral is "sequence contains ITS2". Lineage: Eukaryota; Fungi; Basidiomycota; Agaricomycetes; Agaricales; Agaricaceae. The record is from RNAcentral.